This 914-nucleotide ribosomal RNA is filed under the name Microbacterium lemovicicum. RNAcentral describes it as "bacterial SSU rRNA". It matches the Rfam family "Bacterial small subunit ribosomal RNA", at positions 78 to 1003 of the family's 1533-position model. Lineage: Bacteria; Bacillati; Actinomycetota; Actinomycetes; Micrococcales; Microbacteriaceae. The record is from RNAcentral.
GCUUGCUUGGUGGAUCAGUGGCGAACGGGUGAGUAACACGUGAGCAACCUGCCCUGGACUCUGGGAUAAGCGCUGGAAACGGCGUCUAAUACUGGAUAUGAGCUCCUUCCGCAUGGUGGGGGUUGGAAAGAUUUUUCGGUCUGGGAUGGGCUCGCGGCCUAUCAGCUUGUUGGUGAGGUAAUGGCUCACCAAGGCGUCGACGGGUAGCCGGCCUGAGAGGGUGACCGGCCACACUGGGACUGAGACACGGCCCAGACUCCUACGGGAGGCAGCAGUGGGGAAUAUUGCACAAUGGGCGGAAGCCUGAUGCAGCAACGCCGCGUGAGGGAUGACGGCCUUCGGGUUGUAAACCUCUUUUAGCAGGGAAGAAGCGAAAGUGACGGUACCUGCAGAAAAAGCGCCGGCUAACUACGUGCCAGCAGCCGCGGUAAUACGUAGGGCGCAAGCGUUAUCCGGAAUUAUUGGGCGUAAAGAGCUCGUAGGCGGUUUGUCGCGUCUGCUGUGAAAUCCCGAGGCUCAACCUCGGGCCUGCAGUGGGUACGGGCAGACUAGAGUGCGGUAGGGGAGAUUGGAAUUCCUGGUGUAGCGGUGGAAUGCGCAGAUAUCAGGAGGAACACCGAUGGCGAAGGCAGAUCUCUGGGCCGUAACUGACGCUGAGGAGCGAAAGGGUGGGGAGCAAACAGGCUUAGAUACCCUGGUAGUCCACCCCGUAAACGUUGGGAACUAGUUGUGGGGACCAUUCCACGGUUUCCGUGACGCAGCUAACGCAUUAAGUUCCCCGCCUGGGGAGUACGGCCGCAAGGCUAAAACUCAAAGGAAUUGACGGGGACCCGCACAAGCGGCGGAGCAUGCGGAUUAAUUCGAUGCAACGCGAAGAACCUUACCAAGGCUUGACAUAUACGAGAACGGGCCAG